GUUCAAGAUGUCUGAUUUCAAGAUUCUUGAUCGUGUUAGCCUUGGCCUUGCUAGGCGGGUUGAUGAGGUUGUUUUUGAAGCCAUUGUGAAUGAUUCUAACAGCCCUUUGUAUAACACAAGAGUUGUGCUAGAAAACUAGAUGAAACGUAAGAUCAAUUGAGGAGUGAGUAACUUCUAUUGCUACUGGUAGUGCUUUUGGGAACCAGCA
Molecule: long non-coding RNA, 208 nt
Organism: Pistacia vera
Lineage: Eukaryota; Viridiplantae; Streptophyta; Magnoliopsida; Sapindales; Anacardiaceae
Exons: 3
Source: RefSeq, a predicted model, not a curated record